This 74-nucleotide transfer RNA is filed under the name Bacteriophage sp. RNAcentral's name for it is "tRNA-Ile". It matches the Rfam family "tRNA". From Rfam's summary of the family: Transfer RNA (tRNA) molecules are approximately 80 nucleotides in length. Their secondary structure includes four short double-helical elements and three loops (D, anti-codon, and T loops). The record is from RNAcentral. RNAcentral also lists the same sequence under 1 other name.
AGGAGUAUGGCGCAAUUGGUUAGCGCACCUCCCUGAUACGGAGGGGGUUUCUGGUUCGAAUCCAGAUACUCCUA